Molecule: ribosomal RNA, 488 nt
Filed under: uncultured bacterium
Lineage: Bacteria
Description: bacterial SSU rRNA
Rfam family: Bacterial small subunit ribosomal RNA
Source: RNAcentral
AGAGUUGAUCCUGGCUUAGAACGAACGCUGGCGGCAUGGAUUAGGCAUGCAAGUCGAACGGGAGCAGCAAUGCUCCAGUGGCGCAAGGGUGAGGAACACGUGAACAACCUGCCUUCGAGUUGGGGAUAGCUUCUGGAAACGGGAGAUAAUACCGAAUAACAUCGCCGGAUCGCAUGAUCUGGUGAUCAAAGCAGCAAUGCGCUUGAAGAGGGGUUCGCGUCCCAUUAGCUAGUUGGUGAGGUAACGGCCCACCAAGGCGAUGAUGGGUAGCUGGUCUGAGAGGACGAUCAGCCACAUUGGGACUGAGAUACUGCCCAGACUCCUACGGGAGGCUGCAGUCGAGAAUUUUGGGCAAUGGACGAAAGUCUGAACCCCCAGCAAUGCCGCGUGCGGGAUGAAGGUCUUCGGAUUGUAAACCGCUGUCAAGAGGGACGAAAUUUGACGGUACCUCUGGAGGAAGCCACGGCUAACUACGUGCCAGCCGCCGC